GCCUACGGGAGGCAGCAGUGGGGGAUAUUGCACAAUGGGGGAAACCCUGAUGCAGCGACGCCGCGUGAGUGAAGAAGUAUUUCGGUACGUAAAGCUCUAUCAGCAGGGAAGAAAAAUGACGGUACCUGACUAAGAAGCCCCGGCUAACUACGUGCCAGCAGCCGCGGUAAUACGUAGGGGGCAAGCGUUAUCCGGAUUUACUGGGUGUAAAGGGAGCGUAGACGGGCAUGCAAGCCAGAAGUGAAAUCUGGGGGCUUAACCCCCAAACUGCUUUUGGAACUGCGUGUCUU
Molecule: ribosomal RNA, 290 nt
Filed under: uncultured bacterium
Lineage: Bacteria
Description: partial 16S ribosomal RNA
Rfam family: Bacterial small subunit ribosomal RNA
Source: RNAcentral